GUCGAAGGCGGCGCGGGCGAGCGGGGGCAUGGAGGUGGCGGCAAUGGCGGAGGCACCGUAGAGGGCGCGGGUGAGGCUGUGGACGGUGGUGUUGAGGGAGAUGUGGACGAGGUCGCGGGCGGUGGCGCCCGCUUCGGGGCGGAGGGUGGUGAGGCAGAGGGAGGGGUAGAGGGUUGAGCUGCAAGCUGUAGUGGCGGUGCUCGGGGCUGAAAUGGACUCGGUUGGGAGGAGAGAAAGGGCUGCGACGAGUGCUAGUAGAGAGACUCGGCCGCUG
RNAcentral lists this unclassified non-coding RNA (274 nucleotides) under Hevea brasiliensis (rubber tree). Lineage: Eukaryota; Viridiplantae; Streptophyta; Magnoliopsida; Malpighiales; Euphorbiaceae. The record is from RNAcentral.